GGGCUCUUGGCGCAGCUGGUAGCGCGUUCGCUUCGCAUAGUGACUUGUGUGCGAAAGGUCGUUGGUUCGAUUCCUACAGUGUCCA
Mycena metata is the source of this 85-nucleotide non-coding RNA. Lineage: Eukaryota; Fungi; Basidiomycota; Agaricomycetes; Agaricales; Mycenaceae. The record is from the annotation of a GenBank genome assembly.